This 500-nucleotide ribosomal RNA is filed under the name uncultured bacterium. Its description in RNAcentral is "partial 16S ribosomal RNA". It matches the Rfam family "Bacterial small subunit ribosomal RNA", at positions 30 to 523 of the family's 1533-position model. The record is from RNAcentral.
AUUGAACGCUGGCGGCAUGCCUUACACAUGCAAGUCGAACGGCAGCACGGGAGCAAUCCUGGUGGCGAGUGGCGAACGGGUGAGUAAUGUAUCGGAACGUGCCCAGUCGUGGGGGAUAACGUAGCGAAAGCUACGCUAAUACCGCAUACGAUCUAUGGAUGAAAGCGGGGGAUCGCAAGACCUCGCGCGAUUGGAGCGGCCGAUAUCAGAUUAGGUAGUUGGUGGGGUAAAGGCUCACCAAGCCGACGAUCUGUAGCUGGUCUGAGAGGACGACCAGCCACACUGGGACUGAGACACGGCCCAGACUCCUACGGGAGGCAGCAGUGGGGAAUUUUGGACAAUGGGCGCAAGCCUGAUCCAGCAAUGCCGCGUGCAGGAUGAAGGCCUUCGGGUUGUAAACUGCUUUUGUACGGAACGAAACGGCGAGCUCUAAUACAGUCUGCUAAUGACGGUACCGUAAGAAUAAGCACCGGCUAACUACGUGCCAGCAGCCGCUGUAA